This 3228-nucleotide long non-coding RNA is filed under the name Homo sapiens (human). Its description in RNAcentral is "non-protein coding lnc-DHX38-3:8". The record is from RNAcentral. Lineage: Eukaryota; Metazoa; Chordata; Mammalia; Primates; Hominidae.
AGACAGUGCGGUAAAGCCAAGGGAGAUUAUCCAGACCCCCAGGAGCGAACAGCAAGCAGCAACCGAAGGCGCAAGUGCCAGGAUUACAGCCUAGGCUGCUCCAACUAUGAGCCCUUCCUCGGACCCUGGGACUCGGCUACUUGGGGUUUGGGGGUCUUCCACACCACAGAGGCACAAAGCUGACUUUAAUCACUUUUUUUCCUUUAAACUUGAUUCUGCCGCAGUGGAGCCAGCACAGCGGAUGUUUUCACACCCAGCAAGACAAAGGCCGUCGUCUCCGCCAUGACACUGUUCCGUUCCAAGCAGAGGCCGGGAUUCUGGACUCCUCGAAAAAUCAAAAAGAAACAAGGAAAACAAACAACAAAUACAGCAACAAACAGAAAAAACUGAAAACCACCAAAAUCGUUUGCCCGUUUGCCCGUGCCAGGGGUGAUCUGGGCAUCUGUUGCAGCAGAAGGCGCUUGUGUGGGGCUAAUUUUUCUUUUGGUGGGGGGGACAAGCUGUUGGCUUGUUUGCUAUUUCAACUUCGUUUAUAAUUAACUUAAAAAAAACCCCACCAUUCAGCCUAGUCAACAACAAACAAAGAAAAAGCAGACAUCGGAAGAGAAAUGCCAUAGGAAGCGGCAUGAAUACAUGCCACAGCCGGUGCCACUUGCCACUCGGAAAACCUCAGGGAAAGAUGCCAAUUCUACAGCUGCGAAGAAGGCAGAGAAAGGAGGAUAAAGGUCUACAACUAGAAAUCAUAAGGAAAGAAUACUGCUUGUAUAAUCCUGGAUUGCAAUUGCACACAGCCUCUGCUGGGAGAAGAGAGGGAAUAUUUAAAUGGAGAUAUAGAUGGGUAUAAAUUAAAAGAUAGGCACCUAUCGAUUGCGUAUAAACACAUGUGUAAGGUUGUAUGUGUAUAUAAAUAUGCAUAUUUUCAGACAAACGUUUAGAUAUGUAUAUAUUUUGUGCUACAGGUAUGGGUAUGUAUAUAGGUGUAUAUGUUUAUGCAUAUACACACAUAUGUAGGAUGUAUGCAUGUGUGAGAAAAAGGAGGGAGAGAGAGGAGAGAGAAGGAAAUAUGUGUAUGUGCAUGUAUGUGUAUGCAUACAUCCCACUUUUUGACCCAGGUAUACACAGAAGACAAAAUAAAAAUCAUACUCCAGCAGCAAGCAGGCAGCCAGAGAUUUAUCUACAUUCACUGCUAUCACCAGGGAGAUGAAUGGGGCCGAUCUGAAGCCCUUUUACAAGAUCCACUAUGGGAGUGAAGGAGGAGGAGGGAUGCCACACAGACAUGCACAAACUUGAAGGCAGAGCGAUUUGGAAGGGGCUACUGAGGAAACACUGGUGGCAUAACGCAGGGGAGAAGAAGGGGAAAGAGGCUUGUCUCUCUCUCUCUAUGUUUUAGGUGGUUGUUUUUAAAAAAUCUGCAAAAGGGUUUCAGGGAACGGCUGGUACUUACGUUGUCUGCGUUGCUGUGGAUCCUGAAAGGUGUUCUGUUGGCACCGGGCGCUGAGCCAGGGGCAGGCGCUGGAAACAAAAGGGAGAGACAAAAAAAUAAAGUGAUUCAAUGGGAAUAUUAAUUGCUGCUCUUGUGGAUUUUACAAAACACAUAAACUGUUUUCUUUUUCUUUCUUAAAAAAAAAUGUGGAUUGGCGCGUGUCCCUUUUGCAUGGAAUAUACAAGUAGUAUGGGAUUUACAGCCCAGUUACGGGACUCAGGAUUAGCUGCGCUGGCAUCUUUUGGGCAUAUUCUUCCUUUUAAUGAAUGAGCUUUCGCUGUUAAUGAGGAAUAAUCGUUUGGCUAAUGAGCUUUGAAACAUUAAGAGAAAAGAGGUUUUUUCCGUUAAUCGCUCUGGUGCGACUGCAUGGAUGGAUUACAAAAGACAGCAAUAGGAACGCAGUACAAAGGGGGGGACCUCUCCUGCAGUGGGAGAAGCACCGAGAUGGGUGAUGUGUCCCUGCGUCUUUCCUUCCUUCUCUCUUUCGCUCUCUCUGCCAACUGCUAUGGGUUUCCAUAACUCUGCAAUCAAAGUGGAUGGUCGGGAAGGAUUAUUACACAGAGUGAAGCCUCCGCUGUUAAUGUCUCCAGUGUUUAAUCAUCAUACAGUAGAAUGGUUUUAUGCAUAUUUCAUUUGCAUAUCAUUAAACUGUGUUAGUGAGGGGCAUUCAGAACCAGGAGAAGUACAAAGUUGGGGAGAGAGGGAAGAAAAAAAGGUCCCUAUGAUGCUUAUCUUCAAACGGGGACUUGUUCCAUGAUCUGUCUUCUACUUUUGCUAAAAUCAUUAUGACUUGGAAACCUUUGAAGUUGGAUACAACCUUGGAUUCUUCUAAUUCCUGCAGAGCAGUGUAUUUUACAAAACAGCAGAAAUGUUCCUGCACUAGACAAUUAAAGGAAUAUAAACUCCAGUGGGCUGAAACUAGUAGCUCUUUGGGGAAUGCAGUAGCAGAGGCUUCUACAAAUACCAACACUUAAAAAUAUAUAAUAAACAGCAUCAUAUUAGAAACAAAGAAAACGAAGACAAGAAAUAUUAACACGUGGAUUAUAUUUGUUUCUUUUGGGGGGUAAUGAACUAAAGAGAAUGAAGAAGCCAUCGGUAAUUUAUCCCUUCAUUAAUGAACAGUCACCUUUUUGUAUGUGUUUGUUUUUGUCCUUUCUUUUUGAAGAGGGAUGUUGUUACUUUUGAAGCAAUUAGUCAAUUAUUUUGUAGCUCUGAUCUUUUCCCCCUGCACCCGACAGGACAGAAAGGUGGUGGUUAGGGAAUAUGUGAGUACUUGGGGAGGGGGGGACUUGGUGGGGAGAGAAAGAAUACAGUGAGUUCUUUGUAGAUCUUAUACAUGCACAACAUAUUAAUUGGGGGCUUUUAAAGCUCCCUCAAUGGGCUAUUUCAUUCCUGGUAAAACAGCAGCUGGUUAGCCACUACUGGUGACUCUUCAAAUAUUACUUCAUUUUUAUUCUGUCGCCGUUGUUGUUGUCUUGCUUUGUUUUUCCUCAGUUAAGAAUGAAAAUGUAGUAUCACCCCCUCUUUAGUGAGUCUCUUCUCCAUCUUCUUCACUCCAAUUUCCAAACUGUAAAACAAUGUUGGCUUAAUACUGAGUCCUGGUGCACAGUCUAACUGGCACAACUUGAUUUGGAAAUGAGAUGCUGCUUUAUAUUUAAAUUACCCCGGCUCCCCCCUUAUCCUCCAAAGCUUUGUCUCUGUUAUGAAUAUGCAGAUGAGGCCUGAUGUGAUUACACUGUACAAUU